AGAGUUUGAUCCUGGCUCAGAUUGAACGCUGGCGGCGUGCCUAACACAUGCAAGUCGAGCGGUAACAGGCGUAGCAAUACGUGCUGACGAGCGGCGAACGGGUGAGCAAUGCUUCGGAAUCUGCCCAAUGAUGGGGAAUAACCAGUCGAAAGACUGGCUAAUACCGCAUACGCCCUUCGGGGGAAAGCGGGGGAUCGCAAGACCUCGCGUCGAUGGAUGAGCCGAAGUCGGAUUAGCUAGUUGGUAGGGUAACGGCCUACCAAGGCGACGAUCCGUAGCUGGUCUGAGAGGACGACCAGCCACACUGGGACUGAGACACGGCCCAGACUCCUACGGGAGGCAGCAGUGGGGAAUAUUGGACAAUGGGGGCAACCCUGAUCCAGCGACGCCGCGUGUGUGAAGAAGGCCUGCGGGUUGUAAAGCACUUUUAGUGGGGAUGAAAAGCACAUCACUAACACUGGUGUGUCUGACCUAACCCAAAGAAAAAGCCCCCU
This 494-nucleotide ribosomal RNA is filed under the name uncultured soil bacterium. Its description in RNAcentral is "bacterial SSU rRNA". It matches the Rfam family "Bacterial small subunit ribosomal RNA", at positions 8 to 496 of the family's 1533-position model. The record is from RNAcentral.